GUAGGUAUCUACCCCUAACUUGUGAAUAACUCUGUGAAAACAGAGCUAAUACACAAUGUGGAGGAAACUCUAAAGAUUUAUCGGUUAGGGAUGAGCCUGCGGCCUAUCAGCUUGUUGGUGAGGUAAAAGCUCACCAAGGCUAUGACGGGUAUCGGGACUGAGAGGUUGUACCGGCAGAGGGGCACUGAGACACGGGC
RNAcentral lists this ribosomal RNA (197 nucleotides) under uncultured bacterium. RNAcentral describes it as "partial 16S ribosomal RNA". It matches the Rfam family "Bacterial small subunit ribosomal RNA", at positions 117 to 331 of the family's 1533-position model. The record is from RNAcentral.